Molecule: ribosomal RNA, 429 nt
Filed under: Actinomycetes bacterium
Lineage: Bacteria; Bacillati; Actinomycetota; Actinomycetes
Description: Actinobacteria bacterium partial 16S ribosomal RNA
Rfam family: Bacterial small subunit ribosomal RNA
Source: RNAcentral
UAGGGAAUCUUCCGCAAUGGGCGAAAGCCUGACGGAGCAACGCCGCGUGAGUGAUGAAGGUCUUCGGAUCGUAAAACUCUGUUAUUAGGGAAGAACAAAUGUGUAAGUAACUAUGCACGUCUUGACGGUACCUAAUCAGAAAGCCACGGCUAACUACGUGCCAGCAGCCGCGGUAAUACGUAGGUGGCAAGCGUUAUCCGGAAUUAUUGGGCGUAAAGCGCGCGUAGGCGGUUUUUUAAGUCUGAUGUGAAAGCCCACGGCUCAACCGUGGAGGGUCAUUGGAAACUGGAAAACUUGAGUGCGGAAGAGGAAAGUGGAAUUCCAUGUGUAGCGGUGAAAUGCGCAGAGAUAUGGAGGAACACCAGUGGCGAAGGCGACUUUCUGGGCUGUAACUGACGCUGAUGUGCGAAAGCGUGGGGAUCAAACAGG